Molecule: ribosomal RNA, 1401 nt
Filed under: human gut metagenome
Description: bacterial SSU rRNA
Rfam family: Bacterial small subunit ribosomal RNA
Source: RNAcentral
AGAGUUUGAUCCUGGCUCAGAUUGAACGCUGGCGGCAGGCCUAACACAUGCAAGUCGAACGGUAACAGGAAGAAGCUUGCUUCUUUGCUGACGAGUGGCGGACGGGUGAGUAAUGUCUGGGAAACUGCCUGAUGGAGGGGGAUAACUACUGGAAACGGUAGCUAAUACCGCAUAACGUCGCAAGACCAAAGAGGGGGACCUUCGGGCCUCUUGCCAUCGGAUGUGCCCAGAUGGGAUUAGCUAGUAGGUGGGGUAACGGCUCACCUAGGCGACGAUCCCUAGCUGGUCUGAGAGGAUGACCAGCCACACUGGAACUGAGACACGGUCCAAACUCCUACGGGAGGCAGCAGUGGGGAAUAUUGCACAAUGGGCGCAAGCCUGAUGCAGCCAUGCCGCGUGUAUGAAGAAGGCCUUCGGGUUGUAAAGUACUUUCAGCGGGGAGGAAGGGAGUAAAGUUAAUACCUUUGCUCAUUGACGUUACCCGCAGAAGAAGCACCGGCUAACUCCGUGCCAGCAGCCGCGGUAAUACGUAGGGUGCAAGCGUUAUCCGGAAUUAUUGGGCGUAAAGGGCUCGUAGGCGGUUCGUUAAGUCAGAUGUGAAAUCCCCGGGCUCAACCUGGGAACUGCAUCUGAUACUGGCAAGCUUGAGUCUCGUAGAGGGGGGUAGAAUUCCAGGUGUAGCGGUGAAAUGCGUAGAGAUCUGGAGGAAUACCGGUGGCGAAGGCGGCUGUCUGGUCUGUAACUGACGCUGAGGCUCGAAAGCAUGGGUAGCGAACAGGAUUAGAUACCCUGGUAGUCCAUGCCGUAAACGAUGAAUGCUAGGUGUUGGAGGGUUUCCGCCCUUCAGUGCCGCAGCUAACGCAUUAAGUAUUCCGCCUGGGGAGUACGGUCGCAAGAUUAAAACUCAAAGGAAUUGACGGGGGCCCGCACAAGCGGUGGAGUAUGUGGUUUAAUUCGAAGCAACGCGAAGAACCUUACCAGGUCUUGACAUCCUUUGACCACUCUAGAGAUAGAGCUUCCCCUUCGGGGGCAAAGUGACAGGUGGUGCAUGGUUGUCGUCAGCUCGUGCCGGGAGAUGUUGGGUUAAGUCCCGCAACGAGCGCAACCCUUAUUGUUAGUUGCCAUCAUUUAGUUGGGCACUCUAGCAAGACUGCCGGUGACAAACCGGAGGAAGGUGGGGAUGACGUCAAAUCAUCAUGCCCCUUAUGACCUGGGCUACACACGUGCUACAAUGGGAAGUACAACGAGUCGCAAAGUCGCGAGGCUAAGCUAAUCUCUUAAAGCUUCUCUCAGUUCGGAUUGUAGGCUGCAACUCGCCUACAUGAAGCCGGAAUCGCUAGUAAUCGCGGAUCAGCACGCCGCGGUGAAUACGUUCCCGGGCCUUGCACUCAACGCCCGUCA